GGCCUGAAGAAUGCAUUUUAGGUUUAACCUGCCCAAUGAAAGAAGUGAAUGGCCGCGGUACUCUGACCGUGCUAAGGUAGCGUAAUCAGUUGGCUUUUAAAUGGAGUCAGGAAUGAAUGGGAUAACCUGGUUCAGCUGUCUUUAGACUACUUUAUUGAAGUUACCUUUUAGGUGAAAAGGCCUGAGAUAGGAAAAGGGACGAGAAGACCCUUAGAAUUUUGUUAAUUAAAAACUUAUGUUUUGUAAUAAUUUUGUUGGGGCGACAAGUAGACAUAUUUGAACUCUAAGUUUUAGACAUGCCGAUUGUAAUAAGAGAGAAUAAAUUACCUGAGGGAUAACAGCAUAAUUCUAAAAUGGAGUUUGUGACCUCGAUGUUGGACUAGGAAACUAACAAGCUAGCCGUUUGUUGUGUGGGUUCUGUUCGAACUUUAAAUCCU
Molecule: ribosomal RNA, 437 nt
Filed under: Marionia blainvillea
Lineage: Eukaryota; Metazoa; Mollusca; Gastropoda; Nudibranchia; Tritoniidae
Description: partial 16S ribosomal RNA
Rfam family: Archaeal large subunit ribosomal RNA
Source: RNAcentral